Molecule: ribosomal RNA, 497 nt
Filed under: uncultured bacterium
Lineage: Bacteria
Description: partial 16S ribosomal RNA
Rfam family: Bacterial small subunit ribosomal RNA
Source: RNAcentral
GACGAACGCUGGCGGCGUGCCUAAUACAUGCAAGUUGAGCGAUGAAGAUUGGUGCUUGCACCACUUUGAAGAGCAGCGAACGGGUGAGUAACGCGUGGGGAAUCUGCCUUUGAGCGGGGGACAACAUUGGGAAACGAAUGCUAAUACCGCAUAAUAACUUUAACCAUAAGUUUUAAGUUUGAAAGAUGCACUUGCUUCACUCAAAGAUGAUCCCGCGUUGUAUUAGCUAGUUGGUGAAGGAAAGGCUCAACAAGGCGAAGAUACAUAACCGACCUUAGAGGGGGAACGGCCAAAAUGGGACUGGGAAACGGCCCAAACUCCUACGGGAAGCAGGAAUAGGGAAUCUUCGGGAAUGGACGAAAGUCUGAACGGGCAACGCCGCGGGGGUGGAGGAGGGUUUCGGGUCGGAAAACUCUGUUGGUAGGGAAGAACGUUGGUGGUAGUUGAAAGCGCAUAAAGUGACGGUAACUACUCAGAAAGGGACGGCUAACUACGUG